UCGUCCCUGCGGUAUGCGUGAUUUAGGGCGAAGAAUAUUGAACCUAUAACAUUUAACCGUGGAGCCUGACCGCAUCAGUACCUUGGUAUUGAUACUAGGGCACCCACCUGUACAUAACAGGGUCAAUAUAAUUCAGCCUUACACGGUAUUUGCGGGGAUACU
RNAcentral lists this non-coding RNA (162 nucleotides) under Candidatus Omnitrophota bacterium. RNAcentral's name for it is "6S RNA". It matches the Rfam family "6S / SsrS RNA". Rfam says of the family: E. coli 6S RNA was the first non coding RNA to be sequenced, but its function was unknown until recently. It consists of 184 nucleotides that fold into an extended hairpin structure with a large single-stranded internal bulge. The 6S RNA specifically associates with RNA polymerase holoenzyme containing the sigma70 specificity factor. The record is from RNAcentral. Lineage: Bacteria; Pseudomonadati; Candidatus Omnitrophota.